UAAAACCGAUAACCCCCGUUAAACCUCACCUUUCCUUGUUCUCCCCGCCUAUAUACCGCCGUCGUCAGCUUACCCUAUGAAGGCCCUUUAGUAAGCACAAUUGGUAAAACCCAAAACGUCAGGUCGAGGUGUAGCGUAUGGAAAGGGAAGAAAUGGGCUACUACGAAUAAUACACUGAAACGUAUAUCUGAAGGAGGAUUUAGCAGUAAGCAGAAAAUAGAGCGUUCUACUGAAAGGCCCUGAAGCGCGCACACACCGCCCGUCACUCUCCCCAAAUACAUUCUAAAACCUUUCAUCCAAAGGGGAGGCAAGUCGUAACAUGGUAAGUGUACCGGAAGGUGCACUUGGCAAAAC
This 354-nucleotide ribosomal RNA is filed under the name Epinephelus costae (goldblotch grouper). Its description in RNAcentral is "partial 12S ribosomal RNA". It matches the Rfam family "Bacterial small subunit ribosomal RNA", at positions 946 to 1527 of the family's 1533-position model. Lineage: Eukaryota; Metazoa; Chordata; Actinopteri; Perciformes; Serranidae. The record is from RNAcentral.